UGCAGAGGUUCAUGCAGCGGCGGCGGCGGCGGCGGCUGCUGCUGCUGCCGCCGCGGAAACAGACAGACCGGUCGCUGCUGCCGCCACCCUCCCGCAGCUCCAUGCCGCCGCCGCCGCCUCCUCCUCUCCGGCGAAGGGCGGGGGGCUCCGGCCCGGGGUGGGCACCACUCCUCACAGCGCCGCUCCCCUCCCUGCCCUCCGCCGGGGCGCGGGAGCCGGCGAGAGCGCCCGCCGCCUCCUAGGAGCGCACGCUCCGCGCGCCCUUGCUGGAGCGAGGAGGCGGGCGUGGGCGGGCGUCGGGGCAGCCGCGACCCAGCGCGCGGAAAGGGGAGGGGGCUUCCCCGGAGGAUGCCCCGCGGCGGCGGCUCCUUGCUCUUAGGCGCUAGCUGAGCUGGACCGGGAGCGAGCGGCGCGUCGCCAUGCCGGCGUGACGGGCGCCCGCGGCUGCCCGCGCCGGGCCCCCGCGCUGCCCCACGCCGCGCCGCGCCGGCGCCGGGCGGCAGGAUGGGCUGUAUCCAAAGCAUCACCUGCAAGGCGCGGAUCCGGCGCGAGAACAUCGUGGUGUACGAUGUGUGCGCCACCAUCGACCAGUGCCCCACGCGCAUCGAGGAGACCUCGCCCAUCGUCCUGCGCUACAAGACCCCUUACUUCAAAGCCUCGGCCCGUGUGGUCAUGCCCCCCAUCCCCCGCCACGAGACCUGGGUGGUGGGCUGGAUCCAGGCUUGCAACCAGAUGGAGUUCUUCAACACCUACAGCGACCUGGGCAUGUCAAGCUGGGAACUGCCUGACUUGAGGGAAGGAAGAGUAAAAGCCAUCAGUGACUCAGAUGGGGUGAGCUACCCAUGGUACGGGAACACGACAGAAACUGUGACCCUGGUUGGCCCCACCAACAAGAUCUCCAGGUUUUCCGUCAGCAUGAAUGAUAACUUCUACCCCAGCGUGACAUGGGCAGUGCCAGUGAGUGACAGCAAUGUGCCACUGCUCACAAGAAUCAAGAGGGACCAAAGUUUUACCACCUGGCUGGUAGCCAUGAACACCACCACCAAGGAGAAGAUCAUUCUGCAGACCAUCAAGUGGAGGAUGCGAGUGGACAUUGAAGUGGACCCUCUUCAGCUGUUGGGGCAGCGGGCCCGGCUGGUGGGCAGGACUCAGCAGGAACAGCCCCGGAUCCUGAGCCGGAUGGAACCCAUCCCCCCUAACGCACUAGUGAAGCCCAAUGCCAACGAUGCCCAGGUCCUCAUGUGGAGGCCCAAGCGGGGGCCACCUCUGGUUGUAAUACCUCCUAAGUAAAAGCAGACUGCCCAACUGUGUGGAACACAUGCCACUGAGACCCGCAGUGGGGUGACCAGGGGUGGCAGGAGCCAAACUGAGUUUCUGAGCCAAAGCAGACCUCUUGGUGUGCCAGCCUUUGCAGCUACUUGUGACGAGUACAGCUGCUCCUUGGGCGGUAGAACCAUAACCCUUAGGAAAAGCCCCCUUCCUCUUAGGAAUAAAGAAACCACUGAUUUGAUAGACUUGCUCUGAUUACCGUGCAAGUAGCCAUAUUUUGGAGCUGACCAGGACGAUUCUUUUAUUUGAACUAUUGACCAUUUCUUUCCCGUGAGAUGCAGGGAAUGGAAAUGAAACUAAACAGUGCCUGUGGCAGAUGCUGCUUCCCAACCAAUUAGAAGCGAGAGUGAAAACAUCCACACCAGGUGUCUCCUAGUAGGACAAGGCUAGCCCACCCAGCAAGCAGAACCACAUGGCAAGACACUGAGGAGGAGGAUAUGAGCUAUGGCUGGUGGCUCAAGAAGCUGACGCCCUGGACAGCUGACUUCCUAUUAAACAAGAGUGCCAUCUUGCCAGUCUCUUCACCACCCCUCCUAUCCUGUGACCAGUACCUCCUAUCCCCAGCACGUGUGUCCAACCAGGCUAACUGGUUGGCUCAUGGGGGAGCUUUGUUAAAGUGGAAGUUGUGCCUGCUGCACCUUUUAUGUGUGGAAAGAUUGAGUUCAUCUAGACCUUCUGCUCAUCCCCUCCCUCCACAUGAAGCCUACCAAGGACAAGACUGCUCAUCCUGGACUGAAGAGACCCCACACACAGCCCAACCCUGACUCCCAAGCCUGCCACCCCACCCAACGUUAUGGGGUGUGAGAAUAUAUAUCUCCCCUUCUCAUCUCUCUUCUCUAUGUGGAUAGCCAAUGUCAAUCAUCCCCUGAGGUGUCUCUAAGGUCUUUGGAAGGCAACUGUUUGCCUUACCAUGGACAGGCUUGGUGACUUCAAGAUGACCAAGAGUAGCAUUUAUAUCACCAAGAUCAGUAGAAUGAGAGCAGAACUUCCCCAACAGGGCAAAAGUGCUGUAUGCUAUUCUACCAAUUGUUUUAUUUAUUGGUAUGCUCCCUUGUUUAUUCUUUUGUUUGUUUAAUUAUUUAUUUAUGGAACCUGUAUUUAUUAUAUAUCAGAAAAUCUUCCUCCAUCUUUCAAACAUCAGCUCCAAAUUUGUCUUCUCGGUCCCCUCACAGAGCACAGUAAAUGAUUCCUCUUUGAAGCCACAAAAAAAGAGAGAACUUCUUCUCCCUAGUCCCAAAUACUUCUACCCUAGCCAGAUUUUCAACCCAAAAUGAGAUCAGAAUCUACCAGCUAGUUUUAAGCUGUACAGCCACACAAACCAGCACAGGUUCCACUGUCCCGACAGAAACAGUCUUCCACGCCCCCCUGCUUUUGCGCUGUUUUGACUUCCAUUCCUUCACAAGCCCAUGCAAGACUAACCACCUAAUUCCAGCCUGACUGUACAGAGUGCUUGACACCAGACACACAUCAGAAUCUUUGUUGGGUGCUUAAAGCCACCUGCCUGAGUUCCACCUCAAUGUGUCCAUAGCAGAAUCUCUGAGGGGCUGAGCAACAGAGGUCUUCUUAGUUGCCCAGAUUAUUCUAACUUGUAAAUGCAGUUGAUAAAAAAAAAUUUCUACUGUCUUCUUCAUCCCCAACCACCUCCAACAUCCCUUCUUACUUUAGUUCCCAAACUUUCUCUGGACUCCUCAUUUCUUAGUCUCUUUUCCUCAUGUAACCUUCCCCCCCACCCCAAGCCCAUUGGCACCAUCAACAUGAACAGACUCCAAAGAGGUGACUGGUCCUAAGAGUCACACCAGAAGCCGAUGCCUGCACUUGACCCUCUUAGAAGCAAAUCUUGUUCCCUGCCCAGAGUCACUUUCCAUCUGCACACUCCUUAUCACACAUGCCUCCCUCCAAGAGGUUAAAGGUUAACACGGCUAUUCCUCUGUAUUCCAAUCUUAAGGAAAAGCUCAUUCCAGUCUUUCUAAGCCAAUGGUUGGAUGUUUCUGCAGAGCAACACGAAUUACCUGAGGUUAAUUUCCUGGUAACAGAAAGGGUUAUCUUGUCCCCCAAAUAGUCCCUUGCCCAGUGACCUGAUAGCAAUCCCCUGGCACACAAAUGAUAGCUGACUGAGAAGAGACUUCUCACCCCUCAUGUUGACAAGUUCUCAAACGAUGAAUAUAAGUGAAGGUGUGUGUGUCUGUGUCUGUGUCUGUGUCUGUGUCCACGUAUGUGUGUGUGUGUGUGUGUGUGUGUGUGUGUGUGUGUGUGUGUGUGUGUACUGCCUUCACAUAAACUACUAGAUGGACCUACAGAGAUGCUGAACUUCAACUUCACAGUUUUGACAUUUACUUGAGAACAAUCAAGAACUCGUGCUGUCUUUCACUCAGUGGAUUCACUUCACUCCUUUCCUCAAAGACCCAAGUGAAUUCCGUAGCAGCGCUUCAUGCAGAAUGAUAUAAUGUCUGAGAACUUUUGAGUGUGUUAGAGACUGUAUAUGUCAUAUGCACAAGAGAGUGCCCAGGAUAGAAAGAGUUCAUCUUCCUAUUCCACCUCCAGCAUCUAAACAGGUUCCCAGAGCAAGUAGAUUUCUCCUGCAUUCAUAGCACCAUGCCUUCUUGCCCCAUUAAUCAGACUGUCCUGCACCAAGUCCCAUCUCUCAGGGUCCCUGCUCUCUGAUAGGCAACAGUUCAGUCAGUGGGUGCUAAAGAGUUGAGCGUUACACUUCUUAGGUGACAUUUACCUUUUAAUUGGGGCUAUAGACAAUGCCUUAAUCUGAAGGAGUAGCUUGAAUGCUGGGAAUUUCAGGUGCAGAAGUGGGCCAGUAAGAGAGAUAGGUUUUUUUUCCUUAGGAGGGCAUUUUAGAGCCUCCCCUCCCCAGUACCCAUCUUUAAAGUGAGUUCAUAAGUACAUGAGCACAAGCAAGCACACUUACCUACAUUCACAUCCCAUAAUUUUGGAAUACCUCCCUUGCAUUGGCCCUAUCUUUAAACAUAAAAAUAAAUUAAAAAUGAACCAGCUAAAUUAAUUUAAACCUCACUGGGAAAUGCAGCCUAUUUUUUCACCGGCCACCAGCCAUCUGGUCUACCCCACCCUGCUCCAUUUCCUUCCUGCUCCUUCUCUUUUUGGCUACUGGCCUAUCAGUUAAUUUAUGUGUAUAUGUACUCUGCUCUUCCCUUGCUUCCCCCUAAAUGUAUUUCCCCCCUUGGAUUUGUGUUGUUUUUGGUGUUGUGAAGGACAGCAGUGGAGGCUAAGAGCAUGAGCAUGUGUGUGUGUCACUGAAGACAGAGAAGCCAGGUAUUCUGCUACAGUUUGAAGAAUAAUGCCACAAAGGAAGAAAUGAAAGCUGGCUCUGCAGAGUGCCUUAAAAAUGACUUUAAUUAGGAAAUUCUGAGUUGUCAGUCUUUGGAUGUUACAUAAACUCAAUGGAUGUUGCAUUUCACUUCUCUGGGAUUUAAAAAAAAGUUAAAUACAGUAUGUAUUCAACAAUGA
Molecule: RNA transcript, 4803 nt
Organism: Rattus norvegicus (Norway rat)
Lineage: Eukaryota; Metazoa; Chordata; Mammalia; Rodentia; Muridae
Gene: Fam78b
Gene name: family with sequence similarity 78, member B
Exons: 3
Source: RefSeq, marked validated